GACGAACGCUGGCGGCGUGCUUAACACAUGCAAGUCGAGCGGUAAGGCCCUUUCGGGGUACGACGAGCGGCGAACGGGUGAGUAACACGUGGGUGACCUGCCCUUAGCUCUGGGAUAAGCCUGGGAAACUGGGUCUAAUACCGGAUAUGACUCCAUGACGCAUGUUGUGGGGUGGAAAGCCUUGUGCGGCUAGGGAUGGGCCUGCGGCCUAUCAGCUUGUUGGUGGGGUGAUGGCCUACCAAGGCGACGACGGGUAGCCGGCCUGAGAGGGCGACCGGCCACACUGGGACUGAGACACGGCCCAGACUCCUACGGGAGGCAGCAGUGGGGAAUCUUGCGCAAUGGGCGAAAGCCUGACGCAGCGACGCCGCGUGGGGAUGACGGCCU
Molecule: ribosomal RNA, 387 nt
Filed under: uncultured bacterium
Lineage: Bacteria
Description: bacterial SSU rRNA
Rfam family: Bacterial small subunit ribosomal RNA
Source: RNAcentral